Molecule: ribosomal RNA, 397 nt
Filed under: uncultured bacterium
Lineage: Bacteria
Description: bacterial SSU rRNA
Rfam family: Bacterial small subunit ribosomal RNA
Source: RNAcentral
GACGAACGCUGGCGGCGUGCUUAACACAUGCAAGUCGAGCGGUAAGGCCCUUUCGGGGGUACACGAGCGGCGAACGGGUGAGUAACACGUGGGUGACCUGCCCUCAGCUCUGGGAUAAGCCUGGGAAACUGGGUCUAAUACCGGAUAUGACUCCAUGACGCAUGUUGUGGGGUGGAAAGCCUUGUGCGGCUGAGGAUGGGCCCGCGGCCUAUCAGCUUGUUGGUGGGGNGAUGGCCUACCAAGGCGACGACGGGUAGCCGGCCUGAGAGGGCGACCGGCCACACUGGGACUGAGACACGGCCCAGACUCCUACGGGAGGCAGCAGUGGGGAAUCUUGCGCAAUGGGCGAAAGCCUGACGCAGCGACGCCGCGUGAGGGAUGACGGCCUCGGUUGUAA